This 1343-nucleotide ribosomal RNA is filed under the name uncultured bacterium. RNAcentral describes it as "16S ribosomal RNA". It matches the Rfam family "Bacterial small subunit ribosomal RNA", at positions 28 to 1378 of the family's 1533-position model. The record is from RNAcentral.
GACGAACGCUGGCGGCGUGCUUGACACAUGCAAGUCGAACGGAAAGGCCCUGCUUUUGUGGGGUGCUCGAGUGGCGAACGGGUGAGUAACACGUGAGUAACCUGCCCUUGACUUUGGGAUAACUUCAGGAAACUGGGGCUAAUACCGGAUAGGAGCUCCUGCUGCAUGGUGGGGGUUGGAAAGUUUCGGCGGUUGGGGAUGGACUCGCGGCUUAUCAGCUUGUUGGUGGGGUAGUGGCUUACCAAGGCUUUGACGGGUAGCCGGCCUGAGAGGGUGACCGGCCACAUUGGGACUGAGAUACGGCCCAGACUCCUACGGGAGGCAGCAGUGGGGAAUAUUGCACAAUGGGCGGAAGCCUGAUGCAGCAACGCCGCGUGCGGGAUGACGGCCUUCGGGUUGUAAACCGCUUUCGCCUGUGACGAAGCGUGAGUGACGGUAAUGGGUAAAGAAGCACCGGCUAACUACGUGCCAGCAGCCGCGGUGAUACGUAGGGUGCGAGCGUUGUCCGGAUUUAUUGGGCGUAAAGGGCUCGUAGGUGGUUGAUCGCGUCGGAAGUGUAAUCUUGGGGCUUAACCCUGAGCGUGCUUUCGAUACGGGUUGACUUGAGGAAGGUAGGGGAGAAUGGAAUUCCUGGUGGAGCGGUGGAAUGCGCAGAUAUCAGGAGGAACACCAGUGGCGAAGGCGGUUCUCUGGGCCUUUCCUGACGCUGAGGAGCGAAAGCGUGGGGAGCGAACAGGCUUAGAUACCCUGGUAGUCCACGCUGUAAACGGUGGGUACUAGGUGUGGGGUCCAUUCCACGGGUUCCGUGCCGUAGCUAACGCUUUAAGUACCCCGCCUGGGGAGUACGGCCGCAAGGCUAAAACUCAAAGGAAUUGACGGGGCCCCGCACAAGCGGCGGAGCAUGCGGAUUAAUUCGAUGCAACGCGUAGAACCUUACCUGGGUUUGACAUGGAUCGGGAGUGCUCAGAGAUGGGUGUGCCUCUUUUGGGGUCGGUUCACAGGUGGUGCAUGGCUGUCGUCAGCUCGUGUCGUGAGAUGUUGGGUUAAGUCCCGCAACGAGCGCAACCCUUGUUCACUGUUGCCAGCACGUUAUGGUGGGGACUCAGUGGAGACCGCCGGGGUCAACUCGGAGGAAGGUGGGAAUGACGUCAAGUCAUCAUGCCCCUCAUGUCCAGGGCUUCACGCAUGCUACAAUGGCUGGUACAGAGAGUGGCGAGCCUGUGAGGGUGAGCGAAUCUCGGAAAGCCGGUCUCAGUUCGGAUUGGGGUCUGCAACUCGACCUCAUGAAGUCGGAGUCGCUAGUAAUCGCAGAUCAGCAACGCUGCGGUGAAUACGUUCCCGGG